AAUCAACGCUGGCGGCGUGCCUAACACAUGCAAGUCGAACGCGAAAGCCCCGCAAGGGGUAAGUAGAGUGGCCAACGGGUGAGUAACACGUGGGUGACCUGCCUUCGAGUGGGGGAUAACGUCCCGAAAGGGACGCUAAUACCGCAUGACAUCCUGCUUUUGAAAAAGCGGAGAUCAAAGCUGGGGAUCGCAAGACCUAGCGCUUGAAGAGGGGCCCGCGCCUGAUUAGCUAGUUGGUGAGGUAACGGCUCACCAAGGCGACGAUCAGUAUCCGGCCUGAGAGGGCGGACGGACCCACUGGGACUGCGACACGGCCCAGACUCCUACGGGAGGCAGCAGUGGGGAAUUGUUCGCAAUGGGCGCAAGCCUGACGACGCAACGCCGCGUGGAGGACGAAGAUCUUCGGGUCGUAAACUCCUGUCGAGCGGGACGAACGCUUCGCGGAUGAAUAAGCCGCGGAAUUGACGGUACCGCUAAAGGAAGCCCCGGCUAACUCCGUG
Molecule: ribosomal RNA, 500 nt
Filed under: uncultured bacterium
Lineage: Bacteria
Description: partial 16S ribosomal RNA
Rfam family: Bacterial small subunit ribosomal RNA
Source: RNAcentral